Molecule: transfer RNA, 86 nt
Filed under: Candidatus Micrarchaeota archaeon CG10_big_fil_rev_8_21_14_0_10_45_29
Lineage: Archaea; Nanobdellati; Microcaldota
Description: tRNA-Leu
Rfam family: tRNA
About the family: Transfer RNA (tRNA) molecules are approximately 80 nucleotides in length. Their secondary structure includes four short double-helical elements and three loops (D, anti-codon, and T loops). Further hydrogen bonds mediate the characteristic L-shaped molecular structure. tRNAs have two regions of fundamental functional importance: the anti-codon, which is responsible for specific mRNA codon recognition, and the 3' end, to which the tRNAs corresponding amino acid is attached (by aminoacyl-tRNA synthetases). tRNAs cope with the degeneracy of the genetic code in two manners: having more than one tRNA (with a specific anti-codon) for a particular amino acid; and 'wobble' base-pairing, i.e. permitting non-standard base-pairing at the 3rd anti-codon position.
Source: RNAcentral
GCAGGGGUAGCAAAGUCUGGUCAAAUGCGCAGGGCUUAGGACCCUGUCUCCUAGCGAGUUCGUGAGUUCAAAUCUCACCCCCUGCA